GUUAAAUCUAAUUGCUAAUAUCUCACUUGUACAUAUUUACAGUUGUGAAAAAUUAGGCAAUUUUACCAUAUCAAAACAUUUCUAAAAAGUUGGUUUGAUUUAAUUACCAAUUGCUUUUCAAGUAUUUACAUUUUUCACACCUUGCAAUGGUGCCUGUUUGUGUUCUUUUGCAUGUCAAGUUGGGAACUCUCAAAUAAUUGACCUUGAGAAAUGCAGAUGAUGGACAACAGUAAUUAUAUGUUUGAACUGUGGGGAGUUUUAUUGUGUUUGAUCUCACCACAAUCUUUUUGACUUGUAGCUUUACACACUCACAGAGACUUCAACUUCCAGAACAGAACUGGCACCAUGGUGCCAAGACCCACAAGGUCAAAACUACACCGCCUAUGCAUGGUGUCUGGUCAUUAUUAUUAUUGCUGGUAUUUAUAUAGUGCCAGCAUAUUCUGUAGUGCUUUACAAUAUGAAAAAAGCCUAUUGAAAAAAGCAUCAAUUGCUACGGUUACCUGCAGAAAUGCAAUGUGAAGUCUGAAACACAAUACCUGCCUGUGCUGAUUAGCGUGUCAAGCUGGAAAUUCUGUUGCAAAAACAUGAUUUCUUUAUGUAUAAAGUCGAAGGAGGACUUCAUAAUUCUAAAAUAAUAGCCAGUUGCUGUGAAAACUGAAAUUGUAAAAUUAUUAUGUUUCAUAUAAAUAUAUAUAUAUAUAUACACUGCUCAAAAAAAUAAAGGGAACACAAAAAUAACACAUCAUAGAUCUGAAUGAAUUAAAUAUUUUUCUGAAAUACUUUGUUUUUUACAUAGUUGAAUGUGAUGACAACAAAAUCACACAAAUUAAAAAAUGGAAAUCAAAUUUUUCAACCCAUGGAGGUUUGGAUUUGGAGUCACAGUCAAAAUUAAAGUGGACAAACACACUACAGGCUGAUCCAACUUUGAUGUAAUGUCCUUAAAACAAGUCAAAAUGAGGCUCAAUAGCGUGUGUGGCCUCCACGUGCCUGUAUGACCUCCCUACAAUGCCUGUGCAUGUUCCUGAUGAGGUGGCGGAUGGUAUCCUGAAGGAUCUCCUCCUAGACCUGGACUAAAGCAUCUGCCAACUCCUGGACAGUCUGUGGUGCAAUGUGACGUUGGUGGAGACAUGAUGUCCCAGAUGUGCUCAAUUGGAUUCAGGUCUGGGGAACGGGCGAACCAGUCCAUAGCAUCAAUGCCUUCAUCUUGCAGGAACUGCUGACACACUCCAGCCACAGGAGGUCUAGCAUUGUCUUGCAUUAGGAGGAACCCAGGGCCAACCACACCAGCAUAUGGUCUCACAAGGGGUCUGAGGAUCUCAUCUUGGUACCUAAUGGCAGUCAGGCACAUGGAGGGCUGUGCGGCCCCCCAAAGAAAUGCCACCCCAUACCAUUACUGACCCACUGCCAAACCGGUCAUGCUGGAGGAUGUGGCAGGCAGCAGAACGUUCUCCACAGCGUCUCCAGACUCUGUCACGUCUGUCACAUGUGCUCAGUGUGAACCUGCUUUCAUCUGUGAAGAGCACAGGGCACCAGUGGCAAAUUUGCCAAUCUUGGUGUUCUCUGGUAAAUGCCAAACGUCCUGCACGGUGUUGGGUUGUAAGCACAACCCCCACCUGUGGACGUCGGGCCCUCAUACCACCCUCAUGGAGUCUGUUUUUGACCAUUUAAGCAGACACAUGCACAUUUGUGGCCUGCUGGAGAUCAUUUUGCAGGGCUCUGGCAAUGCUCCUCCUGUUCCUCCUUGCACAAAGGCAGAGGUAGCGGUCCUGCUGCAGGGUUGUUGCCCUCCUACGGCCUCCUCCACGUCUCCUGAUGUACUGGCCUGUCUCCUGGUAGCGCCUCCAUGCUCUGGACACUACGCUGACAGACACAGCAAACCUUCUUGCCACAGCUCGCACUGAUGUGCCAUCCUGGAUAUGCUGCACUACCUGAGCCACUUGUGUGGGUUGGAGACUCCGUCUCAUGCUACCACUAGAGUGAAAGCACCACCAGCAUUCAAAAGUGACCAAAACAUAAGCCAGGAAGCAUAGGAACUGAGAAGUGGUCUGUGGUCACCACCUGCAGAACAACCCGUUUAUUGGGGGUGUCUUGCUAAUUGCAUAUAAUUUCCACCUGUUGUCUAUCCCAUUUGCACAACAGCAUGUGAAAUUGAUUGUCACUCAGUGUUGCUUCCUAAGUGGACAGUUUGAUUUCACAGAAGUGUGACUGACUUGGAGUUACAUUGUGUUGUUUAAGUGUUCCCUUUAUUUUUUUGAGCAGUUUAUAUAUAUAUAUAUAUGUAUAUAUAUAUAUAUUAUUUUUUAAUUUUAAUAUAGAACAUGAUAUUUAUACCAUUGGAUUGAAAAGCCAUUUUUAGAAUGACUGGCUAUUUUUUUUUUUUUUAGAAUUAGAAUUACACGUUAGACUAUAAAACAACGUUUUACUAUAACUGGUGUAAAGCUGUUAGAAUAUGAUCUUUUAAGAUUAGACAGUAACCUCAAUAAAAAGGUUUUAGGGUAAUAAUGGUUCAGUAAGUACGUUUAUGUUACUUUUUAUUAGCUGAAAACCUCCUUUCUUCCUAAUAUUUGAUUAAAUGCAUUGACCGUUGAACAUGUAAUGUGAUUAUGUUGUAUUCAUGUACAGUGUUUAAUAAGGUAUGUUUAUGUUAUAUUGUGCAAUCUUUUCA
This 2665-nucleotide long non-coding RNA is filed under the name Pelobates cultripes (western spadefoot toad). Lineage: Eukaryota; Metazoa; Chordata; Amphibia; Anura; Pelobatidae. The record is from RNAcentral.